UAGGGAAUCUUCCGCAAUGGACGCAAGUCUGACGGAGCAACGCCGCGUGAGUGAAGAAGGAUUUCGGUUCGUAAAACUCUGUUGUUAGAGAAGAACAGCGCAUAGAGUAACUGUUAUGCGUGUGACGGUAUCUAACCAGAAAGCCACGGCUAACUACGUGCCAGCAGCCGCGGUAAUACGUAGGUGGCAAGCGUUGUCCGGAUUUAUUGGGCGUAAAGCGAGCGCAGGCGGUCAAUUAAGUCUGAUGUGAAAGCCCCCGGCUCAACCGGGGAGAGUCAUUGGAAACUGGUUGACUUGAGUGCAGAAGAGGAGAGUGGAAUUCCGUGUGUAACGGUGAAAUGCGUAGAUAUAUGGAGGAACACCAGUGGCGAAGGCGACUCUCUGGUCUGUAACUGACGCUGAGGCUCGAAAGCGUGGGUAGCAAACAGG
RNAcentral lists this ribosomal RNA (429 nucleotides) under Bacteroidota bacterium. RNAcentral describes it as "Bacteroidetes bacterium partial 16S ribosomal RNA". It matches the Rfam family "Bacterial small subunit ribosomal RNA", at positions 355 to 776 of the family's 1533-position model. Lineage: Bacteria; Pseudomonadati; Bacteroidota. The record is from RNAcentral.